Molecule: small nuclear RNA, 239 nt
Filed under: Nannospalax galili (Upper Galilee mountains blind mole rat)
Lineage: Eukaryota; Metazoa; Chordata; Mammalia; Rodentia; Spalacidae
Description: 7SK RNA (ENSNGAG00000001903.1)
Rfam family: 7SK RNA
About the family: 7SK was discovered as an abundant small nuclear RNA in the mid-70s but a possible function has only recently been suggested.
Source: RNAcentral
AGAGGUGACUGAUUACUGACUGGCAAGGCAGGUGUCCCCACCCUCAGUCACUGCUCCUGUGCAUCUUUCAUAAGCUGUGUGCUCAGUCAAAGAAGAAUAGCUUCUACCUCUUCUGGUAGAGGAGCACUGUUCUUCAGUCAAGUAUAUACAAGUGGCUACACUCCUCUGCUAGAUCAUUUAAAUAUGAUCUCAAGAUAAGCUCAGCAGAGAGCUCCAGCUAGAAACAGCAAACUUCUGUU